AGGAUGAACGCUGGCGGCGUGCCUAACACAUGCAAGUCGAACGUCCUGCCUCGCAAGAGGCAGGGAGUGGCGGACGAGUGAGUACCACGUGGGUUAUCUACCGUGAGGUGAGGAAUACCGGCGAGAAAUCGCCGACAAGACCGCAUAGCCUCGGUGCAAGCCGAGGAAAGCUUUCUCGAGAGAGGGAGCGCCACACGAGGAGCCUGCGCCCGAUUAGCUAGCUGGUGGAGUAACGGUUCACCAGGGCGACGAUCGGUAGCUGGUCUGAGAGGACGAUCAGCCACACUGGGAUUGAGAACGGCCCAGACUCCUACGGGGGGCAGCAGUGAGGAAUUUUCGUCAAUGGGGGCAACCCUGAACGAGCAACGCCGCGUGCAGGAAGAAGGUUUUCGGAUCGUAAACUGCUUUUCUCGGGGAAGAGAACGGACGGUACCCGAGGAAUCAGCCCCGGCUAACUACGUGCCAGCAGCCGCGGUAA
This 478-nucleotide ribosomal RNA is filed under the name uncultured bacterium. Its description in RNAcentral is "SSU rRNA". It matches the Rfam family "Bacterial small subunit ribosomal RNA", at positions 26 to 523 of the family's 1533-position model. The record is from RNAcentral.